This 72-nucleotide transfer RNA is filed under the name Ovis aries (sheep). It matches the Rfam family "tRNA". Rfam says of the family: Transfer RNA (tRNA) molecules are approximately 80 nucleotides in length. Their secondary structure includes four short double-helical elements and three loops (D, anti-codon, and T loops). The record is from Rfam by way of RNAcentral. Lineage: Eukaryota; Metazoa; Chordata; Mammalia; Artiodactyla; Bovidae.
UCCCUGGUGGCUGAGAUGGUAAAGAAUCUGCCUGCAAUGCAGAAGACCUAGGUUCAGUCUCUGGCUUGGGAA